CCCUGCAAAACUGCAGCACAAAAGAAUUUCAGCUCCACCUGCUCAGAAGUCUGAAGCCAGUGUGGCUCACCCUCACUGAUCUCAGGGUCUGCAUUUGCAAU
RNAcentral lists this long non-coding RNA (101 nucleotides) under Pongo abelii (Sumatran orangutan). RNAcentral describes it as "lincRNA". The record is from RNAcentral. Lineage: Eukaryota; Metazoa; Chordata; Mammalia; Primates; Hominidae.